This 483-nucleotide ribosomal RNA is filed under the name uncultured bacterium. RNAcentral's name for it is "partial 16S ribosomal RNA". It matches the Rfam family "Bacterial small subunit ribosomal RNA", at positions 30 to 506 of the family's 1533-position model. The record is from RNAcentral.
AUUGAACGCUGGCGGCAGGCCUAACACAUGCCAGUCGAGCGGAUGAAGGGAGCUUGCUCCUGGAUUCAGCGGCGGACGGGUGAGUAAUGCCUAGGAAUCUGCCUGGUAGUGGGGGAUAACGUCCGGAAACGGGCGCUAAUACCGCAUACGUCCUGAGGGAGAAAGUGGGGGAUCUUCGGACCUCACGCUAUCAGAUGAGCCUAGGUCGGAUUAGCUAGUUGGUGGGGUAAAGGCCUACCAAGGCGACGAUCCGUAACUGGUCUGAGAGGAUGAUCAGUCACACUGGAACUGAGACACGGUCCAGACUCCUACGGGAGGCAGCAGUGGGGAAUAUUGGACAAUGGGCGAAAGCCUGAUCCAGCCAUGCCGCGUGUGUGAAGAAGGUCUUCGGAUUGUAAAGCACUUUAAGUUGGGAGGAAGGGCGGUAAGUUAAUACCUUGCUGUUUUGACGUUACCAACAGAAUAAGCACCGGCUAACUUCGU